AACGAACGCUGGCGGCAUGCCUAACACAUGCAAGUCGAACGAGACCUUCGGGUCUAGUGGCGCACGGGUGCGUAACGCGUGGGAACCUGCCCUUAGGUUCGGAAUAACUCCCCGAAAGGGGUGCUAAUACCGGAUAAUGUCUUCGGACCAAAGAUUUAUCGCCUUUGGAUGGGCACGCGUUGGAUUAGCUAGUUGGUAGGGUAAAAGCCUACCAAGGCGACGAUCCAUAGCUGGUCUGAGAGGAUGAUCAGCCACACUGGGACUGAGACACGGCCCAGACUCCUACGGGAGGCAGCAGUGGGGAAUAUUGGACAAUGGGCGAAAGCCUGAUCCAGCAAUGCCGCGUGAGUGAUGAAGGCCUUAGGGUUGUAAAGCUCUUUUACCCGGGAUGAUAAUGACAGUACCGGGAGAAUAAGCUCCGGCUAACUACGUG
This 433-nucleotide ribosomal RNA is filed under the name uncultured bacterium. RNAcentral's name for it is "partial 16S ribosomal RNA". It matches the Rfam family "Bacterial small subunit ribosomal RNA", at positions 29 to 507 of the family's 1533-position model. The record is from RNAcentral.